Molecule: ribosomal RNA, 481 nt
Filed under: uncultured bacterium
Lineage: Bacteria
Description: bacterial SSU rRNA
Rfam family: Bacterial small subunit ribosomal RNA
Source: RNAcentral
GAUCAUGGCUCAGGACGAACGCUGGCGGCGUGCCUAACACAUGCAAGUCGAACGAGAUCCAUGGGAGCUUGCUCCCGGAAGAUCUAGUGGCGAACGGGUGAGUAACACGUGAGAAACCUGCCCUGGAGUGGGGAAUAACUCGGGGAAACUCGAGCUAAUACCGCAUACCCUCGGAUGGUCGCAUGGCCGACCGAGGAAAGAUUUAUCGCUCUAGGAGGGUCUCGCGGCCUAUCAGCUAGUUGGUGGGGUGACGGGCCUACCAAGGCAACGACGGGUAGCUGGUUUGAGAGAACGAUCAGCCACACUGGGACUGAGACACGGCCCAGACUCCUACGGGAGGCAGCAGUGGGGAAUCUUGCGCAAUGGGCGAAAGCCUGACGCAGCAACGCCGCGUGCGGGAUGACGGCCUUCGUGGUUGUAAACCGCUUUCAGCAGGGACGAAAUGACGGUACCUGCAGAAGAAGCCCCGGCUAACUACGUG